GCGAAAANCCUUACCUACCCUUGACAUGUCUGGAAUCCUGCAGAGAUGUGGGAGUGCUCGAAAGAGAACCAGAACACAGGUGCUGCAUGGCCGUCGUCAGCUCGUGUCGUGAGAUGUUGGGUUAAGUCCCGCAACGAGCGCAACCCUUGUCAUUAGUUGCUACGAAAGGGCACUCUAAUGAGACUGCCGGUGACAAACCGGAGGAAGGUGGGGAUGACGUCAGGUCCUCAUGGCCCUUAUGGGUAGGGCUACACACGUCAUACAAUGGCCGGUACAGAGGGCUGCCAACCCGCGAGGGGGAGCUAAUCCCAUAAAACCGGUCGUAGUCCGGAUCGCAGUCUGCAACUCGACUGCGUGAAGUCGGAAUCGCUAGUAAUCGCGGAUCAGCUUGCCGCGGUGAAUACGUUCCCGGGUCUUGUACACACCGCCCGUCACACCAUGGGAGCGGGUUCUGCCAGAAGUAGUUAGCCUAACCGCAAGGAGGGCGAUUACCACGGCAGGGUUCGUGACUGGGGUGAAGUCGUAACAAGGUAGCCGUAUCGGAAGGUGCGGCUGGAUCACCUCCUU
This 567-nucleotide ribosomal RNA is filed under the name uncultured Leptothrix sp. RNAcentral's name for it is "bacterial SSU rRNA". It matches the Rfam family "Bacterial small subunit ribosomal RNA", at positions 961 to 1532 of the family's 1533-position model. The record is from RNAcentral. Lineage: Bacteria; Pseudomonadati; Pseudomonadota; Betaproteobacteria; Burkholderiales; Sphaerotilaceae.